CCUACGGGAGGCAGCAGUGGGGAAUAUUGGACAAUGGGGGCAACCCUGAUCCAGCCAUGCCGCGUGUGUGAAGAAGGCCCUCGGGUUGUAAAGCACUUUCAGUGAGGAAGAACGCCUGGUGGUUAAUACCCAUCAGGAAAGACAUCACUCACAGAAGAAGCACCGGCUAACUCCGUGCCAGCAGCCGCGGUAAUACGGAGGGGGCGAGCGUUAAUCGGAAUUACUGGGCGUAAAGCGCGCGUAGGUGGCUUGAUAAGCCGGUUGUGAAAGCCCCGGGCUCAACCUGGGAACGGCAUCCGGAACUGUCAAGCUAGAGUGCAGGAGAGGAAGGUAGAAUUCCCGGUGUAGCGGUGAAAUGCGUAGAGAUCGGGAGGAAUACCAGUGGCGAAGGCGGCCUUCUGGACUGACACUGACACUGAGGUGCGAAAGCGUGGGUAGCAAACAGGAUUAGAUACCCGGGUAGUC
Molecule: ribosomal RNA, 465 nt
Filed under: Vreelandella stevensii
Lineage: Bacteria; Pseudomonadati; Pseudomonadota; Gammaproteobacteria; Oceanospirillales; Halomonadaceae
Description: partial 16S ribosomal RNA
Rfam family: Bacterial small subunit ribosomal RNA
Source: RNAcentral